This 501-nucleotide ribosomal RNA is filed under the name uncultured bacterium. RNAcentral describes it as "partial 16S ribosomal RNA". It matches the Rfam family "Bacterial small subunit ribosomal RNA", at positions 30 to 523 of the family's 1533-position model. The record is from RNAcentral.
AUUGAACGCUGGCGGCAGGCUUAACACAUGCAAGUCGAGCGGGGGAAGGUAGCUUGCUACCGGACCUAGCGGCGGACGGGUGAGUAAUGCUUAGGAAUCUGCCUAUUAGGGGGGGACAACAUCUCGAAAGGGAUGCUAAUACCGCAUACGUGCUACGGGAGAAAGCAGGGGAGCUUCGGACCUUGCGCUCACCAAUGAGCCUGAGUCGGAUUAGCUAGUUGGUGGGGUAAAGGCCUACCAAGGCGACGCUAUGUAGCGGGUCUGAGAGGAUGAUCCGCCACACUGGGACUGAGACACGGCCGAGACUCCUACGAGAGGAAGCAGUGGGGAAUAUUGGACAAUGGGGGGAACCCUGAUCCAGCCAUGCCGCGUGUGUGAAGAAGGCCUUAUGGUUGUAAAGCACUUUAAGCGAGGAGGAGGCUACUUUGGUUAAUACCUAGAGAUAGUGGACGUUACUCGCAGAAUAAGCACCGGCUAACUCUGUGCCAGCCGCCGCAGUAA